RNAcentral lists this long non-coding RNA (322 nucleotides) under Canis lupus dingo (dingo). RNAcentral describes it as "lncRNA (ENSCAFG00020000418.1)". Lineage: Eukaryota; Metazoa; Chordata; Mammalia; Carnivora; Canidae. The record is from RNAcentral.
CGGCACCAACGCGGAGGUGAGCGCUGCAAACGGUGCGUCUCGGUCAGAGGAGAGCAGGAGGGAGCCUGGGCCCGGUGGCUCCCAGCGGAAGGUAAUCACCGGACGUGCAGAGCUCCUGGACAUACGCUAAGAGGGGCUGAGUGCGCAGAGAGAGGAGAGCCCGCUCUGACCCCCAGCCCCGCAGCCGAGCAACUCUGGGGAAGCUAUUUGGAGCCGUCCGAGCCCGCGCCGGCGAUUCACGCUGCAUCAGCGUUGCUCAAGAUGGAACCAUGGUUUCAUUGGAACCGGGAAUAAUAAUGCCCACAUGGACGGCUGAUUGCUC